This 465-nucleotide ribosomal RNA is filed under the name Vreelandella stevensii. RNAcentral describes it as "partial 16S ribosomal RNA". It matches the Rfam family "Bacterial small subunit ribosomal RNA", at positions 338 to 795 of the family's 1533-position model. Lineage: Bacteria; Pseudomonadati; Pseudomonadota; Gammaproteobacteria; Oceanospirillales; Halomonadaceae. The record is from RNAcentral.
CCUACGGGAGGCAGCAGGGGGGAAUAUUGGACAAUGGGGGCAACCCUGAUCCAGCCAUGCCGCGUGUGUGAAGAAGGCCCUCGGGUUGUAAAGCACUUUCAGUGAGGAAGAACGCCUGGUGGUUAAUACCCAUCAGGAAAGACAUCACUCACAGAAGAAGCACCGGCUAACUCCGUGCCAGCAGCCGCGGUAAUACGGAGGGUGUGAGCGUUAAUCGGAAUUACUGGGCGUAAAGCGCGCGUAGGUGGCUUGAUAAGCCGGUUGUGAAAGCCCCGGGCUCAACCUGGGAACGGCAUCCGGAACUGUCAAGCUAGAGUGCAGGAGAGGAAGGUAGAAUUCCCGGUGUAGCGGUGAAAUGCGUAGAGAUCGGGAGGAAUACCAGUGGCGAAGGCGGCCUUCUGGACUGACACUGACACUGAGGUGCGAAAGCGUGGGUAGCAAACAGGAUUAGAUACCCCGGUAGUC